UACCUGAAGAAAAAGCAUCGGCUAACUCCGUGCCAGCAGCCGCGGUAAUACGGAGGAUGCAAGCGUUAUCCGGAAUCAUUGGGCGUAAAGGGUCCGCAGGUGGCGAAUAAAGUCUGCUGUUAAAGACCGGGGCUAAACUCCGGAAAGGCAGUGGAAACUGAUUAGCUAGAGUACGGUAGGGGUAGAGGGAAUUCCCAGUGUAGCGGUGAAAUGCGUAGAUAUUGGGAAGAACACCGGUGGCGAAAGCGCUCUACUAGGCCGAAACUGACACUGAGGGACGAAAGCUAGGGUAGCGAAAGGGAUUAGAUACCCCUGUAGUCUUAGCGGUAAACGAUGGAUACUAGGUGUAGCUUGUAUCGACCCGAGCUGUGCCGAAGCUAACGCGAUAAGUAUCCCGCCUGGGGAGUACGCACGCAAGUGUGAAACUCAAAGGAAUUGACGGGGGCCCGCACAAGCGGUGGAGUAUGUGGUUUAAUUCGAUGCAACGCGAAGAACCUUACCAGGGCUUGACAUGUCGCGAAUCUAGCGGAAACGUUAGAGUGCCUUAGGGAAUGCGAACACAGGUGGUGCAUGGCUGUCGUCAGCUCGUGUCGUGAGAUGUUGGGUUAAGUCCCGCAACGAGCGCAACCCUCGUCCUUAGUUGCCAAUAUUAAGUUAGGCACUCUAGGGAGACUGCCGGGGACAACUCGGAGGAAGGUGGGGAUGACGUCAAGUCAGCAUGCCCCUUACGUCCUGGGCGACACACGUACUACAAUGGUUGGGACAAAGGGCAGCAAACUCGCGAGAGUAAGCGAAUCUCAUCAAACCCAGCCACAGUUCAGAUUGCAGGCUGCAACUCGCCUGCAUGAAGUAGGAAUCGCUAGUAAUCGCAGGUCAGCAUACUGCGGUGAAUUCGUUCCCGGGCCUUGUACACACCGCCCGUCACACCAUGGAAGCUGGCUACGCCCGAAGUCGUUACCCUAACCCGGUUUUGGGAGGGGGAUGCCGAAGGUAGAGCUAGUGACUGGGGUGAAGUCGUAACAAGGUAGCCGUACCGGAAGGUGUGGCUGGAUCACCUCCUUUACAGGGAGACCUAGUCUAAUUACCAAUAGAUAAAAAAGUUGGUAAUUCGCAAGAAUCCUUAGGUCGUGAGGGGAGCAAGAAAAAACUUUCAAACUGUAAUGGGUGAGGGUCAAUGGGCUAUUAGCUCAGGUGGUUAGAGCGCACCCCUGAUAAGGGUGAGGUCCCUGGUUCAAGUCCGGGAUGGUCCACCUAAAAUACACAGGCAUCCUGCCUGUGCCACAAAAAAAGGAAAAAGUUUUGGCAUUGUCUCUUGUAAUCAAGAGCAAGAGAUAAUGCUGGAAUAGAUUCCAGCAAG
This 1357-nucleotide unclassified non-coding RNA is filed under the name uncultured cyanobacterium. Its description in RNAcentral is "bacterial SSU rRNA". The stretch from base 1 to 1062 matches the Rfam family "Bacterial small subunit ribosomal RNA", at positions 476 to 1533 of the family's 1533-position model. Lineage: Bacteria; Bacillati; Cyanobacteriota. The record is from RNAcentral.